GCUAGAGACAGGCUUUGGAAGAAAAAAUCUGAGUUCAAAUCCUAUUUCCUACCACUUACAAGCCGCAGUGUUGAGUAAGUUACCCAGGCUUCCUGAGACUCAGUUUCCUCCUUUGUAAAUAGACUCAUCUAGAGAAGUUGUUGUGAGAACUUGGCCAAAACGCGUGAUCCUCUCUGGAAAUGAUUUUAGAAACAAAAGUAACAACAACAAAACAGAUAUAACCACAACUACCCAUAAACAGAAUGUGGGUUGGAGCCCAGGACCAUCUGGAGCCCGGGUUCUAGAUCUGAAACAGUGUUAGAGAGUGGAGGAUUCCACAUUUCACGGGAGGGCAGCAAUAGCUUUGCAAAACACCUCACAUGGGGAUUCCUUUAAUCAGUGAGGAGCGACAUGCAUUGCAAUACGUAUUUAAUUCAUCUGUGGCAACUGACUAUUACCACCGUGAUGCCCCACAAAGGAUGAGAGAGGACGGCUCUGAAAAGAGACCACACCACUGUGGAAAAGCGGAAUACAGUUUUCAAAAGUGCACUGCUAUUCUUCAGGAAAGCAAGUGGAUUUCCAUGACUACAACUUCUACCCACAAUUCAAUUUGAUAAUUCAACACAUAUGUACAGAGCCUAGCACCAGGCUGAAGCUGAAUGGGAAAUCCUGGCACGAACACCCCUGAAUGACAAGGAGAUCUCUGCAGUCCCCGAAGUUGGCAAUGGUUUGGGGACCAUCUCUUCAGUCCCUGCAGUCCCUAGACAGGCUGGGACAGACAUCAGUGUUCUGACAGUCACGGUCAGGGUAGGACAAGAGGUCUCUUGCUUUGCCCAGACCUGCAGGCAGGCAGAUCCUUGGGAGCCUGCGUCCCAGUUCUCCUUUCUGAUUUUUCUGGGUGGGGCAUGGACCUCCCAUGCUCCACAACAGGCUCUUGGCUUUGAUAAUAAAGAACGGAAGCUGG
Molecule: long non-coding RNA, 943 nt
Organism: Cavia porcellus (domestic guinea pig)
Lineage: Eukaryota; Metazoa; Chordata; Mammalia; Rodentia; Caviidae
Exons: 2
Source: RefSeq, a predicted model, not a curated record